Molecule: ribosomal RNA, 253 nt
Filed under: uncultured bacterium
Lineage: Bacteria
Description: partial 16S ribosomal RNA
Rfam family: Bacterial small subunit ribosomal RNA
Source: RNAcentral
UACGUAGGGUGCAAGCGUUGUCCGGAAUUAUUGGGCGUAAAGCGCACGUAGGCGGCUUUGUAAGUUAGAGGUGAAAGCCCAGGGCUUAACCCUGGAAUUGCCUUUAAGACUGCAUCGCUAGAAUCGUGGAGAGGUGAGUGGAAUUCCGAGUGUAGAGGUGAAAUUCGUAGAUAUUCGGAAGAACACCAGUGGCGAAGGCGACUCACUGGACACGUAUUGACGCUGAGGUGCGAAAGCGUGGGGAGCAAACAGG